Molecule: ribosomal RNA, 821 nt
Filed under: uncultured Bacteroidota bacterium
Lineage: Bacteria; Pseudomonadati; Bacteroidota
Description: bacterial SSU rRNA
Rfam family: Bacterial small subunit ribosomal RNA
Source: RNAcentral
GCCCUUAGAGUUUGAUCCUGGCUCAGGAUGAACGCUAGCGGCAGGCCUAAUACAUGCAAGUCGAACGGUAGCAGACCCGGCAACGGGUGCUGACGAGUGGCGCACGGGUGCGUAACACGUAUGCAACCUACCCUGUACUGGGGGAUAACCCUGAGAAAUCGGGGCUAAUACCCCAUGGUAUUAUGAAGUGGCAUCACUUUAUGAUUAAAGAUUCAUUGGUACGGGAUGGGCAUGCGCCCCAUUAGUUAGUUGGUGAGGUAACGGCUCACCAAGGCUGUGAUGGGUAGGGGUUCUGAGAGGAUUAUCCCCCACACUGGUACUGAGACACGGACCAGACUCCUACGGGAGGCAGCAGUAAGGAAUAUUGGGCAAUGGAGGCAACUCUGACCCAGCCAUGCCGCGUGCAGGAAGACUGCCCUAUGGGUUGUAAACUGCUUUUGUAUGGGACUAACCGUGGUUACGUGUAACCGCCUGCAUGUACCAUACGAAUAAGCAUCGGCUAACUCCGUGCCAGCAGCCGCGGUAAUACGGAGGAUGCGAGCGUUAUCCGGAAUUAUUGGGUUUAAAGGGUGCGUAGGCUGACAAGUAAGUCAGUGGUGAAAUACCCCGGCUUAACCGGGGGGUUGCCAUUGAAACUGUUUGUCUUGAGUGUAAUCGAAGUGGGCGGAAUGAGGUGUGUAGCGGUGAAAUGCAUAGAUAUACCUCAGAACACCGAUAGCGCAGGCAGCUCACUAGCUUACAACUGACGCUGAGGCACGAAAGCGUGGGUAUCAAACAGGAUUAGAUACCCUGGUAGUCCACGCAGUAAACGAUGAUCACUA